RNAcentral lists this ribosomal RNA (460 nucleotides) under uncultured bacterium. RNAcentral's name for it is "partial 16S ribosomal RNA". It matches the Rfam family "Bacterial small subunit ribosomal RNA", at positions 338 to 795 of the family's 1533-position model. The record is from RNAcentral.
CCUACUUUCAUCAUAAGUGAUGAAUAUUGGUCAAUGGGCGCGAGCCUGAACCAGCCAAGUAGCGUGAAGGAUGACUGCCCUAUGGGUUGUAAACUUCUUUUAUAUGGGAAUAAAACGUUCCACGUGUGGGAUUUUGUAUGUACCAUAUGAAUAAGGAUCGGCUAACUCCGUGCCAGCAGCCGCGGUAAUACGGAGGAUCCGAGCGUUAUCCGGAUUUAUUGGGUUUAAAGGGAGCGUAGGUGGAUUGUUAAGUCAGUUGUGAAAGUUUGCGGCUCAACCGUAAAAUUGCAGUUGAAACUGGCAGUCUUGAGUACAGUAGAGGUGGGCGGAAUUCGUGGUGUAGCGGUGAAAUGCUUAGAUAUCACGAAGAACUCCGAUUGCGAAGGCAGUUCACUGGACUGCAACUGACACUGAGGCUCGAAAGUGUGGGUAUCAAACAGGAUUAGAUACCCCAGUAGUC